GCGAGGCAACGGGGCUUCCUCGGGAGCCUAAGGCUCCCGAGAAAAUUAUGCCCUCCGUCUUUUGGGGGCUGCCGCAAGGCAGCAGCGCGAAAGCGCUACUGCACGAACAGAAACGGCACCCCCGUCAGCAGAUGAGAAUGACUUGACGAUGCUGACGGGUUGGUUGAAACGGCGUGCAGCCCCUGGAGAUAAGGGGGUUUCCCCCGCUUAGACUGAUGAAGCCCUAGAAGCAGAAGGCAUAUUACCGUUGCCUCGC
Molecule: RNase P RNA, 256 nt
Filed under: archaeon
Lineage: Archaea
Also listed under: 1 other name
Description: RNase P RNA component
Rfam family: Archaeal RNase P
About the family: Ribonuclease P (RNase P) is a ubiquitous endoribonuclease, found in archaea, bacteria and eukarya as well as chloroplasts and mitochondria. Its best characterised activity is the generation of mature 5'-ends of tRNAs by cleaving the 5'-leader elements of precursor-tRNAs.
Source: RNAcentral